RNAcentral lists this long non-coding RNA (1376 nucleotides) under Mus musculus (house mouse). Its description in RNAcentral is "predicted gene 10069". Lineage: Eukaryota; Metazoa; Chordata; Mammalia; Rodentia; Muridae. The record is from RNAcentral.
GAGCGGAGAACUUUCUAGAGAAGCGGUUAAACGGGUUGAGGCUCUUGGACUGAGGGACUCCAAGUGGCGAGCCUCCCAAGUCCGGGCCUGCCUCGUGGCCGGCCCUGCUCACCCAGGCCCACAGCGGAAUAGCUGGAGACAGGCAGUCAGAUGUGAAGUGGCAAAGAUCGGCCUCCCGUGAUUGUGCCACAGAUGCCCAUGGUUCCAGGCGUGGGCACCUGAGCAGUGUGGGAAAGAGAGGUCGAGGGAUUGAAAGUGUGGGCCCCGUAGGGACAGUUUCAGCCCAGGUGCACAGAUCGGACACAACUUUGCCCUCCCUGCAGCCUGGCAGGCCCACCGCAAAAAUGCCAUGAGCAGAUUUAUAAGAGCCAUAGACUUGUAAGUGGAGGUGAAUAGGAAGGAAGGUUUUCUCAACCUGCUCGCUGCUCCUAUGAGAUGCCUGUGGAGUUCUGAGUCUGUGUGGCUAAAACCAUGAAGUUCUGAUUACCGGAACAGUGCUGGCUUGAUGGAAGAUCUGUCUGGAGAGGUCCUGACUCUGCCCAGCAGUUUAGUACCCAGUUAUACAGCCUGCUGUUGCCCCCUGCCUCCAGUUCUCCCCUCCCACAGUUCCAAGUCCCACUCCUCCUCCCACUUGCCUCCAAGAGGGUGAUCUUUAAGAAACAAGUCAGGCAUAGUGGUGAGUGCCUUCAAUCCCUACACCAGGGAGGCAGAGGCAGGCAGGUCUCUGAGGCCAGUGUCCACAUACUGAGUUCCCAGCCUGUGAGGGUGGCAUAAUGAGAGCUCUUCUCAAAACCAAGCAAAACACAAAUGCUGGAGAGGAUGUGGAGUACUGAUGACAGAAGAGCCACCAGCUUCAAGCAGCAGCAGCAGCAGCAACAGCAGCAUCGAUCUACAAUCUGACCCAGCUGGACCACUCCUGGGUGUUUACCUGGACUCUAAGUCAAGACAGUACCGAUACUUGCAUAUAGGUGAUUAUUGUAGCACCUUUCACAAACAGUUAAGUUACAGAAACAACCUAGGUAUCCACCAUUAGAGGAUGGUUAAAGAAAAUGUGGCAGAUGUGCACAGUGGAAUAUUAUUCAGCCAAGAAGACUGUGGUGUUUUCUGGUAAAUGGAUGUAAAUGGGAAUAAAACAUAUUAAGUGCAUAAGAUCGGACUCAAAGACAAAUAGCUCAUGUUUUCUCUCAUUGGUGGAGCCUAGGUUUUAUCAAGCUACGUAAAAUAUGUGUGCAUAUAUGACACAGAAGAACAGCAGAACUAAGGGAACCAAUGAGAGAGGAGAGAAGAGGGCAGGUGAGAUCAUGAAUAUCCUGUACUUGCAGGAAAAUGUCCUGUAACCCAGUACUGUGUACAAUAAAUACAUGGCAACAAGAGCA